CACAGAGCUUGAGGCUGACCGCAAUGAACCAGGUCUUGGGUGACCCACCGGAUGUCAUGUCGCUUCUAAGUUCUUGGAUGGCCCUUAGAUUGUGCUCGUUCAUCGAUUGUAGUCGUGGUAGGCUUAGGAUUUCACCGUGCCCCGUUAUUGACAGCAAAGGCGAAGCUACGAUUCCUGGAACUUUCCUCAAUGCUUUGUUGAGGUUUAAGAACAGGGUGCUGUUGAUCACGGUUCUGUCUUCGAACGUGAUGAGGUGGGCCUCUCUUGUCGUCCUUAGGGGUCCGUUGUCAACGCUGACCGUUGCUCGCUGCCCAUUUAUGAUGAUUAUGCCAUCGUCCACUACUACAGCAUUGAUGCAACAGGAUGGUGGUGGCCAGGUGGCUGGGUUGCGUGCGUCAUGAAGCAGAGCCGCCGGCGUGUACUUCGCGACAUAAAGAUAAUUUUAACCUGGGAGCAUUCUACUUAAAUAUGAAACGAAAAAUUUUUAUAUUUUUACAUACUCCCAACAAAUAAGCUACUGGGACCUCUGUGAGCUGUUCGGUAAAAAUAGUUUUAGGUCUUAGUGGGAUAUUCGCUUUGGCAAGUGUGAUCGUAAUCAUGAGAUUUGGACUACCGAAAUUAGCAUCCUGUUUCUGCGCCUCUGUGUUAAUCAGUACUCAGUUAAUCAGUCUAUGAUUCUACAAGCUGCUAUUUUUUCGAAGCCCAACUCGUCGGGGGUACUUGCUACGACCUUUAAUGCUGUUAUCAGGAAGUCUAGGCUUCUGGCCAUGUAUCAUUAAAGCGGACAACGGAUUUUUUAUGUUCUAUAUCUGAAUGUGGGAACAACUCCAACAUUUUAACGGUAUAAAAGGCGGUGAUCCGCGCAGUUGUAGUAGAAGGGAGUAGGAAGAGUAUUCCGUCAAACCUGCGGGAAUGAUACCUUAAAUCUGUAAAACAAAAGUUUGAAUUAUUUCAGAUUGUCCUUAUGGACCACCCUCCCCUUAAUUAGAACUGCCGUUCCAAGGUCCGCUUGUACCCGUUCUUCUGAGUACAGCGGGGUUAGCUUGUUCCCUAGUCUUUUGUUAUUCCUUGGGUAAACCUUUUCGCCCACUUCAAAGACUCUGUUCUGCCUCGAAAUGUUAAAAGGAAGCGCCUCGUUAGAGGUCGAAAAAACUUGAAUUCUCUUCAGUAUCAUCUUUUUGAACUCGGAUUUUACCGAGCCUGNUAGAUCUAGGGUAGUAAAAAAUCUUGCCUUUCCCAAGUUCGCUAGAAUCAUGGGUAUGCUCGGCAUAGGGUAUCGAUCGGCAAUUGUUCGCUCGUUCAGUUUUCUGAAGUCGAUUACCAGCCGCUUUUUCCUGUUGCCUUUGACGUCAGAUUUCUUUUUGUCUACAACCCAAAUUGGGCUGUUGUAUGGCGACCUAGAUGGCCUGAUUAUGCCGUCCUUCAGCAGUUCUUUGACUUCUUUGUUAACGAAGUCUGCUGCUCCCAUAGGGUAGGGGUAUAAUUUCGAGUAGACUGGUUCGUCAUUCACAGUUCGGAUGGUGGCGACAACUGAGGUGUUAAAGGGAAGCGCCUCGUUAGAGGUCGAAAAAACUUUAAUUCUCUUCAGUAUCAUCUUUUUAAACUCGGAUUUUACCGAGUCUGGGACCACCAGGUCAUCGACUUUGGUGAAAUUUACGUUGUCACAGUUAUGGAACCUAAGUUGUUCAGUUACGUUUCCGUAUCUGAUUCUUCCGCUGCGCAGGUUCAAUGCCGCUCCCGCUCGCGUUAGCAAAUCGGAACCUAUAAUGGCAUCGAACGUAGCUAGAGUGUCUAACAAAAAAAAUGGGGCGUUUUGCCCGAAAAUAUUCAUUAGGCACUUGUUUUUUAUUUCAGUGGAGCCAUGUAUCGAGCUCACCGUGAAGGGGGUGUCGACCGAAGUUACGUUUUUCAGCUCCUUUAUGGGCUUUACGUAAUUUUUAGCCGCACCAGUGUCGAUUAAAAUUUUUAGUGUUUUGCCAGCCAACUGUCGCUCGACGAACGGCAAUUGGGAGCGCUCACUAAAAAAAUUCAACAGGUCGUUGCCGCUAGCCGAAUCACUUUCUUCGUCAAUUUCCGCAACCGCGGCCUCGGCUAAGUUUGCAUAUUCUUGUUCCCCUUGGUUAGGGGCCUGCUGUAUUAUAUUAUUUAUCCGUUGGCGUCUUUGCCCAGAUAUACGAUCUGACGUGUUCCGCCUUUUCUGAGCUUCGCCCUGUGUGACGUCGCUCUGUGGUUUCCCCCAAUUGGUCUGUUGCCUAAACCUAGACAUCGAUGGGUCAACUUCCAUAGGCUGCACUUGGUUUUGUUGUGGGGCCUCUUUAUCGUUUGGCUUUGGCCAAGGAUCGCCCUGUUGCUGCCUAUUUUGAUUACUUUUUCCCACAAAAUGUGGGUUCUUUUCCUGACCUUUACCUUGUCUGGCCUGGGCCCGAUGACCCUGUCUAUUGCCGUCGCCUGAAUGGUUUUUAUCCUCGAUCACCUUUGCAUACGUAGCGGCAAAUGCGCUUCUCUCAAUGCUAUUUUCGGCCUCGCGUGCUAGAGCUAAGGCGGAUGGCAAAUCCUUGGGCUGUGCCGGGAGAACGAACAAUUUUAGCGGCCUCUUGAGGCCCGCUAUGAAUGCGUGUAAAGCAUCAUUCCUAAUUUCCUCGUUGAGAAUGGUAGCUGCCUCCUCAUUAUGAGUCAUGACCACUUUGUUAGUGACGAGCGUGAGCUUUCUCUCGACUUCGUCAUAAUAUUCCAUUAGAUCGGUUUCACCCUGCCUAACCAUUUCCAAGUGUUGACGUAAUACUCGUAGGGAUGUUUUGUCCGCAUAUGUGCAAUCGAGUCUAGCUAUGAUUGCAUCAAAAUUGAGCACCGUGUUGUGCGAUGUGAGCAAUGCUCGAGCUGUUCCACAGAUUUUAUUUUUUAUGAUGGCCACAGCCUCGUAGUGUGUCUGACUACCAGAGUAGUUUUUGAAAAUUUCGUACGCAUCUAGAGCAGAUUGUCUCCAAGACACAUAUUCCUCAUGAUUCCCGUUGAAAGUUGGUACUGAUUUUAUGAUAUCUAGUUUCACUUCACAUUUUAUACUAGUGUCAAUGGUCACUCUCUUAUAAGUUUCCACAUGAGGGACACCUACAGUUAGAGCGCUCACACUAUUUCUAACUUUUUCGAGUUCCCUGCUAAAUUCUGCACUCAGUCGUCGUUCCUGUUCGACGAGGGCUGUGUUGAUUGCGCCUUCUACUAACGCUUUUAUCAUGGCUGGAUCGUUU
Molecule: long non-coding RNA, 3242 nt
Filed under: Drosophila guanche
Lineage: Eukaryota; Metazoa; Arthropoda; Insecta; Diptera; Drosophilidae
Source: RNAcentral